Molecule: ribosomal RNA, 253 nt
Filed under: uncultured bacterium
Lineage: Bacteria
Description: partial 16S ribosomal RNA
Rfam family: Bacterial small subunit ribosomal RNA
Source: RNAcentral
UACGGAGGGGGUUAGCGUUGUUCGGAAUUACUGGGCGUAAAGCGCGCGUAGGCGGACCAGAAAGUUGGGGGUGAAAUCCCGGGGCUCAACCCCGGAACGGCCUCCAAAACUCCUGGUCUUGAGUUCGAGAGAGGUGAGUGGAAUUCCGAGUGUAGGGGUGAAAUUCGUAGAUAUUCGGAGGAACACCAGUGGCGAAGGCGGCUCACUGGCUCGAUACUGACGCUGAGGUGCGAAAGUGUGGGGAGCAAACAGG